Molecule: ribosomal RNA, 404 nt
Filed under: Actinomycetes bacterium
Lineage: Bacteria; Bacillati; Actinomycetota; Actinomycetes
Description: Actinobacteria bacterium partial 16S ribosomal RNA
Rfam family: Bacterial small subunit ribosomal RNA
Source: RNAcentral
UGGGGAAUAUUGGACAAUGGGCGCAAGCCUGAUCCAGCCAUGCCGCGUGAGUGAUGAAGGCCCUAGGGUUGUAAAGCUCUUUCACCGGUGAAGAUAAUGACGGUAACCGGAGAAGAAGCCCCGGCUAACUUCGUGCCAGCAGCCGCGGUAAUACGAAGGGGGCUAGCGUUGUUCGGAUUUACUGGGCGUAAAGCGCACGUAGGCGGACUUUUAAGUCAGGGGUGAAAUCCCGGGGCUCAACCCCGGAACUGCCUUUGAUACUGGAAGUCUUGAGUAUGGUAGAGGUGGGUGGAAUUCCGAGUGUAGAGGUGAAAUUCGUAGAUAUUCGGAGGAACACCAGUGGCGAAGGCGGCUCACUGGACCAUUACUGACGCUGAGGUGCGAAAGCGUGGUGAGCAAACAGG